CAAGUAUGGACUGAAACUUCCGCAAACCGUAAGAAACUUCUAAUCAGUGAGGAAGAAGGUGCACACUGAACAAGCAGUGCUCUCCCUCCCGAAGAUCAAUACCCACACCAGAAGAGCAGCACCCCUCUUGUGUGCAACCAAGCAGACGCUUGUGCACCUACCUCCCUGUCAUGAGUAAGCAGGCUCGCACAGGACAAGAGUGUCCCCUCCCCGUGUAAGCAAGUAGACCCCUUUCAGACAAGCUGUGCCCCCGACAAAAGGGUGCCACCACCCAGCGUAGUCCAAGGCAGCUCUCCAUUUGCUGCUCCUUGGCACUGGGCAGUGCAGGUGAGGACUGACCAACCUGAUCCUGGAUGACAACAAUGCCAGAAAAGAGAAGGGAGCAACCACGUCCCAGCGCUGUGGACGGUGGGGCGUCGUGGUGCACACCUGUAAUCCCAG
Molecule: long non-coding RNA, 441 nt
Organism: Chinchilla lanigera (long-tailed chinchilla)
Lineage: Eukaryota; Metazoa; Chordata; Mammalia; Rodentia; Chinchillidae
Exons: 3
Source: RefSeq, a predicted model, not a curated record